RNA transcript from Lycium ferocissimum, 2628 nucleotides. It is a transcript of the gene named galacturonosyltransferase 8-like, with no coding region annotated. The transcript is spliced from 5 exons. Lineage: Eukaryota; Viridiplantae; Streptophyta; Magnoliopsida; Solanales; Solanaceae. The record is from RefSeq and is a predicted model, not a curated record.
CGGAACCCUCACUUUGUCUCUCUAAGUAUCUUCAAUGGCUCUACGGAGUUACCGGACUUCAUUUUCCGAUUAUCGGAGAAUGAGUCAUUCAGCCACGUCAUUUCGUGUCACCUUUAAGUUGUUAGCCAUUUCUCUCAGUGUUGCGUUUUUCGUGUUGUUAUCUCUCUCUUUUCUCUACACAUCAUCUAACGAUCCUUCCGAUCACCGCCACGGUUUCUCGAAUGAUUUGUAUGGAGUUGGAUCAAAACGUAGGUCCAUUUUAGGCUUGAAAUCGGAUCCUUUGAAGCCAAGGCUUGAACACAUUAGGAAACAAGCAGAUGAUCACCGCGCUUUAGCUAUGGGCUAUGCUUCCUAUGCUAGAAAGAUGAAGCUCGAAAACUCGAAACUUGUCAGAGUGUUCGCGGAGUUAUCUGGUAACUUAACAGAUCUCAUCACAAAACCUCCAUACAGUGCGUUGUUUGAGUCAGAUGGCAAGCCCAUUGACGAGUCAGUGCUUAGGCGGUUUGAGAAGCACGUGAAGGAACGAAUAAAAGUAACGAGACAAGUUGUUGUAGAGGCAAAAGAGUCUUUUGAUAAUCAAUUAAAGAUUCAAAAGCUUAAAGACACUAUUUUUGCAAUCAAUGAGCAAUUAACCAAGGCAAAGAAGCAAGGUGCUUUUUCUAGCUUGAUAGCUGCAAAGUCUAUUCCAAAAAGCGUGCAUUGUUUGGCAAUGAAGUUAAUGGAAGAACGAAUUGCAUGUCCGGAGAAGUAUGUAGAUGAUGGGAAACCUACUCCUUCGGAGUUUGAGGAUCCUAAGCUUUAUCAUUAUGCAAUUUUCUCUGAUAAUGUGCUUGCUGCUUCAGUUGUGGUGAACUCAGCCGUAAAGAACUCGAAAGACCCGUCACAGCACGUGUUUCAUGUUGUGACUGAUAAGAUGAAUCUUGGGGCUAUGCAAGUUAUGUUCAGGAUGAAAGAUUACAGCGGAGCUCACAUUGAAGUGAAGGCUGUUGAAGAUUAUGAGUUCUUGAACUCCUCUUAUGUCCCAGUACUUAAGCAACUUGAAUCUGCAAAAAUGCAGCAGUUCUACUUUAAUAAUCAGCUUGAGAAUGCAACCAAGGAUACCAAUAAUAUGAAAUUCAGGAACCCCAAGUAUCUGUCAAUAUUGAACCACCUUAGGUUCUACUUGCCCGAAAUGUACCCCAAGUUGCACAGGAUUUUGUUCUUGGAUGAUGAUAUAGUUGUUCAGAGAGAUUUGACAGGCCUCUGGAAGAUAGAUAUGGAUGGUAAGGUGAAUGGAGCUGUAGAGACGUGUUUUGGUUCAUUCCAUCGAUAUGCACAAUACAUGAAUUUCUCACACCCAUUGAUCAAAAAGAAGUUUAAUCCCAAGGCAUGUGCAUGGGCUUAUGGAAUGAACUUCUUUGACUUAGAUGCUUGGAGGAGGGAGAAGUCCACUGAAGAAUACCAUUACUGGCAGAGCAUGAAUGAAAAUCGGACAUUAUGGAAAUUGGGAACAUUGCCUCCAGGUUUGAUCACAUUUUAUUCCACAACAAAACCACUUGAUAAGUCUUGGCAUGUUUUGGGGCUUGGCUAUAAUCCAAGCAUCAGCAUGGAUGAGAUCAACAAUGCUGCAGUGGUCCACUUCAAUGGGAAUAUGAAACCAUGGCUUGAUAUUGCAAUGAGCCAAUUUCGGCCUCUUUGGUCCAAGUAUGUUGACAAAGAAAAUGAGUACGUGCAGGCAUGUAAUUUCAAUUUUGGUGAUGGUUGAAAUUAGGCUUGAUGGAGUUAACAAGCUAGUCCUACAAGCAUUUCCUGUUUGGCUUGUCGCCUCUCCCUCACACGUAAAUGUACACCAGAAGCUCUCUUCCCAUUUAAUAUCACAACAGAGAAGUUCCGGGUAUAAUUACUAUUUAGGUCCAAAACACUGUAAUCUACUUUUCAAAAAGUUCGGAGUUAUUUUCUCAAGCUAAAGGACACUUGAGAAGGUAUUGUUUUCAUACUGGAGUUUGUCAUAGCACCACCCAAACAUGGCAAAGAGCACUGUGGUUGUCUGUAUUUACUACGAUUUGGUUUUAUAAAACAGAAAAGGGCCAAAAUUACCCCUGAACUUUCAUAAAUUGUUCACUGGUGCCCUUCGUUAUAGUAUUUGGCUACUCAUGUCACUAUCGUUAUACUUUGGGGCAAAUAUGCCCUCAUGUGUAACGGCUUGCCACAUGUCACCUUCCCAAUGGUCAACCCAUUUUCCCCCAUUAUAAUUCUACCCGGAUUAAUUAUUACACCGGAUCCGACCCGAGCCGACCCGACCUAACAUUUAAUUCACCCAACCCUUAACCUAAACAACCCAUUACUCUCUCUCUCUCUCUCUCUACACAACUCAUCGUCGACCUAACCCACAACCACCUUCAAAACACUCCAUUGUUCUUUCAGGUAUUGAAUUCGAGGGAUGGAAAAUAUAUUUGCGAAGAAGUAAAAAAUCAUUGACACCAUAAAGAAAUUCACUCAAGACCCAUGAGGGUAAGCUUUGAGCAAUACAAGUUUAGUUAUCCUUUUCCAUCUUUUGUCCCCUCUGCAUAUGCUAAUUUUUUGUUGAAUUUUUUAACAACAUUUCUUUUAGUUGUAUUCCAGAAAAAUGCAAGAAAAAAAUUAAAGCAA